This is a long non-coding RNA of Dreissena polymorpha, 472 nucleotides long. RefSeq lists it as uncharacterized. Lineage: Eukaryota; Metazoa; Mollusca; Bivalvia; Myida; Dreissenidae. The record is from RefSeq and is a predicted model, not a curated record. The transcript has 3 exons.
UAAAGAUAAGCGCGUGCAUUGUGUACUAUGAUUAAAAAUUGGCAACAGAAUUGCAUUGUUUUGAAGUGGUUGCACAAUUUGUUAUCAGGAACAAUAGACCGCGAAAGAAAAAAGAUAUCCAGCGAAACCCCGCUAAACUUAACUGGGAUUAAACUACCACAUACUUGGGCAGGGAACCCCGGUACAGUUAUCAAACUCGGCCCUGUUUCCGGGACACUCGAGGCCCCCGUGGGCAGGGGCGGGGUUGGUGCACUCCUUGAGCCGGAUUCGCUGACUACGCCCGCACGUUCGCUCACAGAGCGACCACUCUCCCCAGGAGCUCCAACCGCCGUCCACUAAGAAAUGAAUAAAAUGACUGAAGAGAUGAAACUCAACAAGAUGACAUCCAUAGACUGCCGAUAUACGCUUUAUUCCACAAUGUUGAUAUAUAUCACCGUUUAUUCAAUUUGAUUUUAUCUCGCCAAUUUACGCG